This 253-nucleotide ribosomal RNA is filed under the name uncultured bacterium. RNAcentral describes it as "partial 16S ribosomal RNA". It matches the Rfam family "Bacterial small subunit ribosomal RNA", at positions 524 to 776 of the family's 1533-position model. The record is from RNAcentral.
UACAGAGGUCCCAAGCGUUGUUCGGAUUUACUGGGCGUAAAGGGUGCGUAGGUGGCGUGGUAAGUUCGAUGUGAAAUCUCCGAGCUCAACUCGGAAAUGGCAUUGAAUACUAUCCCGCUUGAGGGUCGGAGGGGAGACUGGAAUUCUCGGUGUAGCAGUGAAAUGCGUAGAUAUCGUAAGGAAGACCAGUGGCGAAGGCGAAUCUCUGGACAGUUACUGACACUGAGGCACGAAGGCCAGGGGAGCAAACGGG